UACGUAGGACCCAAGCGUUAUCCGGAUUUACUGGGCGUAAAGAGUUGCGUAGGUGGUCUGUUAAGUAAAUAGUGAAACUGUGUGGCUCAACCAUGCACCCAUUAUUUAAACUGGCAGACUUGAGAGCGAGAGAGGUAGAUGGAAUUGCUAGUGUAGGAGUGGAAUCCGUAGAUAUUAGCAGGAACACCGAUGGCGUAGGCAGUCUACUGGCUCGUUUCUGACACUAAGGCACGAAAGCGUGGGGAGCAAACAGG
This 254-nucleotide ribosomal RNA is filed under the name uncultured bacterium. Its description in RNAcentral is "partial 16S ribosomal RNA". It matches the Rfam family "Bacterial small subunit ribosomal RNA", at positions 524 to 776 of the family's 1533-position model. The record is from RNAcentral.